Molecule: ribosomal RNA, 429 nt
Filed under: Fusobacteriota bacterium
Lineage: Bacteria; Fusobacteriati; Fusobacteriota
Description: Fusobacteria bacterium partial 16S ribosomal RNA
Rfam family: Bacterial small subunit ribosomal RNA
Source: RNAcentral
UGGGGAAUAUUGCACAAUGGGCGCAAGCCUGAUGCAGCCAUGCCGCGUGUAUGAAGAAGGCCUUCGGGUUGUAAAGUACUUUCAGCGGGGAGGAAGGGAGUAAAGUUAAUACCUUUGCUCAUUGACGUUACCCGCAGAAGAAGCACCGGCUAACUCCGUGCCAGCAGCCGCGGUAAUACGGAGGGUGCAAGCGUUAAUCGGAAUUACUGGGCGUAAAGAGCACGCAGGCGGUUUGUUAAGUCAGAUGUGAAAUCCCCGGGCUCAACCUGGGAACUGCAUCUGAUACUGGCAAGCUUGAGUCUCGUAGAGGGGGGUAGAAUUCCAGGUGUAGCGGUGAAAUGCGUAGAGAUCUGGAGGAAUACCGGUGGCGAAGGCGGCCCCCUGGACGAAGACUGACGCUCAGGUGCGAAAGCGUGGGGAGCAAACAGG